GCAUUCAGUUGCCAACGGUAGGCCGGGCACUCUGGAUGGACUGCCGGCGACAAGCCGGAGGAAGGUGGGAUGACGUCAAGUCAUCAUGGCCCUUAUGUCCAGGGCGACACACGUGCUACAAUGGCCGGCACAGCGGGAAGCGAGGGGGCGGACCUUGAGCGGAUCCCUCAAAGCCGGUCUCAGUUCGGAUUGCAGUCUGCAACUCGACUGCAUGAAGUUGGAAUCGCUAGUAAUCGUGGAUCAGCCAAGCCGCGGUGAAUACGUUCCCGGGCCUU
Molecule: ribosomal RNA, 275 nt
Filed under: uncultured Thermovirga sp.
Lineage: Bacteria; Thermotogati; Synergistota; Synergistia; Synergistales; Thermovirgaceae
Description: partial 16S ribosomal RNA
Rfam family: Bacterial small subunit ribosomal RNA
Source: RNAcentral